GGCUCAACCCCGGGUCUGCAGUGGGUACGGGCAGACUAGAGUGCAGUAGGGGAGACUGGAAUUCCUGGUGUAGCGGUGAAAUGCGCAGAUAUCAGGAGGAACACCGAUGGCGAAGGCAGGUCUUUGGGCUGUUACUGACGCUGAGGAGCGAAAGCAUGGGGAGCGAACAGGAUUAGAUACCCUGGUAGUCCAUGCCGUAAACGUUGGGCACUAGGUGUGGGGGACAUUCCACGUUCUCCGCGCCGUAGCUAACGCAUUAAGUGCCCCGCCUGGGGAGUACGGCCGCAAGGCUAAAACUCAAAGGAAUUGACGGGGGCCCGCACAAGCGGCGGAGCAUGCGGAUUAAUUAGAUGCAACGCGAAGAACCUUACCAAGGCUUGACAUCCACCGGACCGCACUGGAGACAGUGCUUCCCUUCGGGGCUGGUGGACAGGUGGUGCAUGGUUGUCGUCAGCUCGUGUCGUGAGAUGUUGGGUUAAGUCCCGCAACGAGCGCAACCCUCGUUUUAUGUUGCCAGCACGUGAUGGUGGGGAUUCAUAGGAGACUGCCGGGGUCAACUCGGAGGAAGGUGGGGAUGACGUCAAAUCAUCAUGCCCCUUAUGUCUUGGGCUUCACGCAUGCUACAAUGGCCGGUACAAAGGGUUGSGAUACUGUGAGGUGGAGCUAAUCCCAAAAAGCCGGUCUCAGUUCGGAUUGAGGUCUGCAACUCGACCUCAUGAAGUCGGAGUCGCUAGUAAUCGCAGAUCAGCAACGCUGCGGUGAAUACGUUCCCGGGCCUUGUACACACCUCCCGUCAAGUC
RNAcentral lists this ribosomal RNA (800 nucleotides) under Kocuria flava. RNAcentral's name for it is "bacterial SSU rRNA". It matches the Rfam family "Bacterial small subunit ribosomal RNA", at positions 606 to 1403 of the family's 1533-position model. Lineage: Bacteria; Bacillati; Actinomycetota; Actinomycetes; Micrococcales; Micrococcaceae. The record is from RNAcentral.